CCUAAAAUGGCAGAAAAUAUGCAUAGGACUUAAGCUCCUACUAUGAAGCUAAGCUUCUUUUAGAA
RNAcentral lists this transfer RNA (65 nucleotides) under Axianassa australis. RNAcentral describes it as "tRNA-Leu". Lineage: Eukaryota; Metazoa; Arthropoda; Malacostraca; Decapoda; Axianassidae. The record is from RNAcentral.